GAUGAAGAACGCAGCGGAAUGCGAUACUUGGUGUGAAUUGCAGAAUCCCGUGAACCAUCGAGUCUUUGAACGCAAGUUGCGCCCGAAGCCAUUAGGCCGAGGGCACGCCUGCCUGGGCGUCACACGUCGUUGCCCCCCCAUCUACUCCUUCGGGAUUGCGGGGGGCGGAUGAUGGCCUCUCGUGCGCCUCGUCGCGCGGUUGGCCUAAAUGCCAAGUCCUCGGCGACGCACGCCACGACAAUCGGUGGUUGCGAAACCUCGGUUGCCUGUCGUGUGCGGUCGUCGCGCAUCGAGGGCUCGAAAAAAUUGCCGGGCUUCGGCUCGACUUUCAACGCGACCCCAGGUCAGGCGGGGUUACCCGCUGAAUUUAAGCAUAUCAAUAAGCGGAGGA
RNAcentral lists this unclassified non-coding RNA (391 nucleotides) under soil metagenome. RNAcentral's name for it is "partial contains 5.8S ribosomal RNA, internal transcribed spacer 2, and large subunit ribosomal RNA". The stretch from base 1 to 122 matches the Rfam family "5.8S ribosomal RNA", at positions 35 to 154 of the family's 154-position model. The record is from RNAcentral.